UACGUAGGGUGCAAGCGUUAAUCGGAAUCACUGGGCGUAAAGCGCACGUAGGCGGCUUCUUAAGUCAGGGGUGAAAUCCUGGAGCUCAACUCCAGAACUGCCUUUGAUACUGGAGAUCUUGAGUCCGGGAGAGGUGAGUGGAACUCCGAGUGUAGAGGUGAAAUUCGUAGAUAUUCGGAAGAACACCAGUGGCGAAGGCGGCUCACUGGCCCGGUACUGACGCUGAGGUGCGAAAGCGUGGGGAGCAAACAGG
Molecule: ribosomal RNA, 253 nt
Filed under: uncultured bacterium
Lineage: Bacteria
Description: partial 16S ribosomal RNA
Rfam family: Bacterial small subunit ribosomal RNA
Source: RNAcentral